RNAcentral lists this ribosomal RNA (433 nucleotides) under Chattonella subsalsa. Its description in RNAcentral is "partial Eukaryotic small subunit ribosomal RNA". It matches the Rfam family "Eukaryotic small subunit ribosomal RNA", at positions 736 to 1172 of the family's 1831-position model. Lineage: Eukaryota; Raphidophyceae; Chattonellales; Chattonellaceae. The record is from RNAcentral.
UGGGGAACCAGGACUUUUACUUUGAAAAAAUUAGAGUGUUCAAAGCAGGCCUACGCCCGAAUACAUUAGCAUGGAAUAAUAGAAUAGGACGCGCGUUCCCAUUUUGUUGGUUUCUGAGAUCGCCGUAAUGAUUAAUAGGGAUAGUUGGGGGCAUUUGUAUUCCGUCGUCAGAGGUGAAAUUCUUGGAUUGCCGGAAGACAAACUAUUGCGAAAGCAUUUGCCAAGGAUGUUUUCAUUGAUCAAGAACGAAGGAAGGGGGAUCGAAAACGAUCAGAUACCGUUGUAGUCUCUUCUGUAAACUAUGCCAAUUGGGGAUUAGCUCAGGAUUUUUAAUGACUGAGUUAGCACCCGAAGAGAAAUCUUUAAAUGAGGUUCGGGGGGGAGUAUGGUCGCAAGGCUGAAACUUAAAAGAAUUGACGGAAGGGCACCACCA